RNAcentral lists this signal recognition particle RNA (295 nucleotides) under Peromyscus maniculatus bairdii (prairie deer mouse). Its description in RNAcentral is "Metazoan signal recognition particle RNA (ENSPEMG00000004854.2)". It matches the Rfam family "Metazoan signal recognition particle RNA". Rfam says of the family: The signal recognition particle (SRP) is a universally conserved ribonucleoprotein. It is involved in the co-translational targeting of proteins to membranes. The record is from RNAcentral. Lineage: Eukaryota; Metazoa; Chordata; Mammalia; Rodentia; Cricetidae.
GCCGGGCGCGGUGGCGCACGCCUGUAGUCCCAGCUACUCGGGAGGCUGAGACAGGAGGAUCGCUUGAGUCCAGGAGUUCUGGGCUGUAGUGCGCUAUGCCGAUCGGGUGUCCGCACUAAGUUCGGCAUCAAUAUGGUGACCUCCCGGGAGCGGGGGACCACCAGGUUGCCUAAGGAGGGGUGAACCGGCCCAGGUCGGAAACGGAGCAGGUCAAAACUCCCGUGCUGAUCUCUCAAUAUGCAUAUGCAUUGUCUAUAUGUAAAAAAGGUACCAUCACACUAAGUAAUAGCUCUCU